AGACCGCUUCACCUCACGAGACGGCCGGGUGCGCCACUCUUAACCCCGCAAACCCAGAGCACCCCCCUCCCUAACCCUCCCUCCUCAAUCUCACGUCUGAAAAGCGGCUUUCGACAGCAGUGGCUGACGACUGCGUUUGGCUCCUGAGGGGGGAAUGCAGGUGAAUGCAGAAACAGGCCUCUGGGUCAACGCGAGCAACGCCACUCUCGCUCUGAAGCGGCGGCCCCUGGAGGCAGGCGUGAUGGAUGACCCCGCUGCACGCGGGCGGACAUUCCUGACACUCGGCCGCAGACAGAUUAACCAGGUCACCCUUCAGCUCCGCGUCCACCUGCCGGCCUGUUACGGGGGCAGGGCCUGCUCCGCGCACAGCUCCCAUUGUCUGCGGCACACGCCAUGCCCCCAGGAGACAGGCCCCGGCCAGACCUGAAUGAAGGGGGAGGAGGGAGGAAGCAGAGGCAGGGCAGGGAGGCGAUACCGGAGACGGCCCUGCCACAUACUUCCAUCAGAAGCCUCCGCUGAGUGAUAUUUUCCUGUGGACGGGCCUUUCCGUUGGAGCGGGCAGGACGGGCCGGGUGCGGGGGGCCCUGCUGGUGGACAGGUGUGUGGCUGUAGCAGGAAAGCCGACCCUGAAACUGGACCCCAGCAGCUGUGCAGCAGGUGGCCAGUGGACAGGCCUUCUCCCUGCAUUGUCUCCCAGGCCGGGCCGUGGAUCAGACACUUCAGAGGGGCUCAGGCCUAAGAAAUCCAAUGUAUGGUAAUAGCUGACUGCUCUCAAAGAGCUGGCAGAGUGGAACUCUAUCGCGCCUGGCCCAUUGACAGUGACUGUGGAUACACUGGAGGGGGAAAUAGCAUGUUUUCCCAUCCGCCGGCGUGCUCAACGGGUUUACAGUCACAAUCCACAUACCUGCUAUUCACAGAGCAGCUAAUGGCCUCCUCAGUCUGAUGGGCUCUGUGACAGCUCAAAAGCAACACAUUGUACUAAGGGAACACCUGAUUGUUCCGGCCAGGAAUUUACGUGUCUAAUCAGUAAUCGGCACAAGUGCGGACUUGCCGUGUUCGAAGGCGCGGCCAUAUCUUAGGAUGGCCACAAAGGUUUAUACCACCUUGGCAUUGAGGAAGAGGAAAGCAAACUCCUGGCCCAUGCAAAGCACUCAAUGGGGAUUAGAAUGCUCUGCAUAAAGCCG
Long non-coding RNA from Conger conger (European conger), 1184 nucleotides. RefSeq lists it as uncharacterized. The record is from RefSeq and is a predicted model, not a curated record. The transcript has 3 exons. NCBI's taxonomy places the organism in Eukaryota, Metazoa, Chordata, Actinopteri, Anguilliformes, Congridae.